This 305-nucleotide ribosomal RNA is filed under the name Cytobacillus firmus. RNAcentral describes it as "partial 16S ribosomal RNA". It matches the Rfam family "Bacterial small subunit ribosomal RNA", at positions 1 to 293 of the family's 1533-position model. Lineage: Bacteria; Bacillati; Bacillota; Bacilli; Caryophanales; Bacillaceae. The record is from RNAcentral.
UUAUAUGGAGAGUUUGAUCCUGGCUCAGGACGAACGCUGGCGGCGUGCCUAAUACAUGCAAGUCGAGCGGACGGAUGGGAGCUUGCUCCCAGACCAUCAGCGGCGGACGGGUGAGUAACACGUGGGCAACCUGCCUGUAAGACUGGGAUAACUCCGGGAAACCGGGGCUAAUACCGGAUAAUUCUUUCCCUCACAUGAGGGAAAGCUGAAAGAUGGCAUCUCGCUAUCACUUACAGAUGGGCCCGCGGCGCAUUAGCUAGUUGGUGAGGUAACGGCUCACCAAGGCCACGAUGCGUAGCCGACCU